Molecule: non-coding RNA, 540 nt
Filed under: Peribacillus loiseleuriae
Lineage: Bacteria; Bacillati; Bacillota; Bacilli; Caryophanales; Bacillaceae
Description: Bacillus sp. FJAT-27997 Bacterial small subunit ribosomal RNA
Rfam family: Bacterial small subunit ribosomal RNA
Source: Rfam by way of RNAcentral
GAGUUUGAUCCUGGCUCAGGACGAACGCUGGCGGCGUGCCUAAUACAUGCAAGUCGAGCGAAUAGAUGGGAGCUUGCUCCCUGAUAUUAGCGGCGGACGGGUGAGUAACACGUGGGCAACCUACCUGUAAGACUGGGAUAACUUCGGGAAACCGGAGCUAAUACCGGAUACGUUCUUUUCUCGCAUGAGAGAAGAUGGAAAGACGGUUUCGGCUGUCACUUAUAGAUGGGCCCGCGGCGCAUUAGCUAGUUGGUGAGGUAAUGGCUCACCAAGGCCACGAUGCGUAGCCGACCUGAGAGGGUGAUCGGCCACACUGGGACUGAGACACGGCCCAGACUCCUACGGGAGGCAGCAGUAGGGAAUCUUCCGCAAUGGACGAAAGUCUGACGGAGCAACGCCGCGUGAGCGAAGAAGGCCUUCGGGUCGUAAAGCUCUGUUGUUAGGGAAGAACAAGUACCAGAGUAACUGCUGGUACCUUGACGGUACCUAACCAGAAAGCCACGGCUAACUACGUGCCAGCNNNNNNNNNNNNNNNNNNNN